GAUUCUAGCACACGCUAAUUUAACAACCCUGCUUCGUCGUCUUCUUUUUUUUUUUUUCCCCUUCUGCUUCCAGGAUAAUUAAAAGAGAAACCUGUAAAGGCAACAUUCCUUCAAGCAAGUUGGUGCUGCAACGUGCUGACAUAUAUAAAGGAGAGACAUUGAUCCAGGAUGCUUUCACUAUGCAAUUUCGAAACUAAUUCUACCUGUUGAACUGCACCAAGAGCAGAUGAUAUGACAGAAACUGCAAGACAACUAGAGGACUGAGUUUGGGUCCAGAAGGACUGUGAGGACUGACAUAAAGUCAGCUGAGAACAAGAUGGGAUGUACCAGAAACUCUUGGCCUAUGAACAUGGGACAAAAAAAAGAGCCAGAAAAGCAACUCUUAAGGGAUGUCUCGUUUUAAGUGCUGGACAGUGCCAGAGCUGCUACCAGCACCUGGUGGGGUAAGGGACAAAGCCCCAUGACCCAGAAGAAAUUUUGUCCACUGAAACUUUUUUCAAUAUUUCAGGCUACACCUUCAAUGACUAGAAAAGCUGGGAUAGUCUGGUUCCUCUUUCACUUACCAUGAUGGGUAGGGACCACAUGUACCAUCUCUGAAAUAGACCAUGUGACUGCUGUUAUUAUUCCCUCAGUGAUGUAAUACCUCUGCAAGCAUAAUCAACCCUUGUUCUUAAUGUUCUCUUAUUAGUCCAAUUGACUAACACUUACUGUUUAUGAAAAAAUAAAUGUGUUUCAGCUGUUG
Long non-coding RNA from Calidris pugnax (ruff), 742 nucleotides. RefSeq lists it as uncharacterized. The transcript is spliced from 2 exons. The record is from RefSeq and is a predicted model, not a curated record. NCBI's taxonomy places the organism in Eukaryota, Metazoa, Chordata, Aves, Charadriiformes, Scolopacidae.